Molecule: long non-coding RNA, 764 nt
Organism: Neolamprologus brichardi
Lineage: Eukaryota; Metazoa; Chordata; Actinopteri; Cichliformes; Cichlidae
Source: RefSeq, a predicted model, not a curated record
UGACCCUCUGCACCGAGAACAGAAGGAAAGACAGAAACACAUGUGACAGAAAACAAAGGAGGCACUAAGAGAGGUUAGGAAAUGUGUGGGAGGAAGAAAACACUCAAGUUAAAGAGAAAAAGAAUGCAAUAAGAGACACACCUCCAGAGCCCCCGCAGGAAUCAAGAAGAGCCAGUACGACAGCUUUUUCUACUGUGCAUUCACUCAGGCAAAUAAGAACAAGCAGAUAAAGCUCCACGGACAGAGACUCUGUGAUGAGAAGAAGGCAGACAAAACCACAGGCAUGAGUGAACACAAAUGACUUGUGAGGCAACAGAUAAACCUGCCUCCUGACUGACAGCCAACCCUCUGUUAGUUCUCUAAUGAUUACUGCUUCUUGAAGGAAAGACGUUCAAAGAGCCUGCAAUCCGGUGGUUAAAGGGAAAAACAGAGAAAAAUAUGAUGCAGCACUGUUCUUCGCAGGUCGAGGCAGUCUGACCUGAGCUCUGAGAAAGCAGGAGAGGGAAAAGAGCAAACAUCAAAGAAGAACGAAAGUGGAAGGAAGAAGGAAAGGAAUAUAAAAAGAUGUGAGAAACAAAGAGAACUCUGUCAGUGUGCAACAAGCAUCUCUGCCUCUCAUAUCGAGGUCACUGUGAGUCGAGCCAGGCGGUCCGUGAUCCACGUGUUGGUGGGGAAGCUGUGAGAAAGAGCUUGGUCCCCAAACAGAAGGAAGGAAGGAAGGAAGGAAGAAGAAGAAGCAAGAUCAGAUAAUCACAGUUCUGCAG